This 783-nucleotide long non-coding RNA is filed under the name Homo sapiens (human). RNAcentral describes it as "non-protein coding lnc-RPL11-5:1". The record is from RNAcentral. Lineage: Eukaryota; Metazoa; Chordata; Mammalia; Primates; Hominidae.
GGUCUGACGCCGAAGACCGCGGAGCCGCGGAUUCAAAGAAUGAGGAAGCGCUGAUACCGGGGAGAGGCGGGCCUCUCCGCCAGCAAGGAUUUAAAAAUCACUCAAAACCAUUAACUUCCAGAAUUUGCUUUUUCCUGGCAGCACCCCAGAUCUUUGAGCUUCCCUGCCCCCUGCCAGUCCGCCUUUAGCCCAACACUGGUUCGAGCCACAGCUCCUCCGAGGUCAUAAAUCCCUGAACAGCAAAGAAGCUCCCCCCACCCCCCGUUUUUUUUAAGCGAAAGAUUUUUCAAGGGAAACUUGUAAGGAAUUAGUGCCGCCUUGUUCCCCAAUUUGCUGUUCGUCUGACCUCCAGACUCACUGGCGUCAGGAAUUAUCUUGUGACCAGAGGGAAAAAAAAUUAAUUGCGGUGAAGCUGAGGUUACAAUGAAGAAAACAGAUUUGCGCUAGGCGCUGAGAUUGCAGAAGGAGGAGGGAAAGGGGGUUUGAGCAAAGAACACUAUUUAUUUGAGCAACAGGGGAAAAGAAGAAAGCUUGAGCCCAUGCUUUUUGCAUGGGGAAAAAAGGAGCCUGGACCCUCUGCCCCAUAAACUCCAUAACGAACUAAAUAUAUGCACAGUUGUGCUUUGUGAGUUCAAUUAGAAUUUUGGACAAGGUUUUAAAUAUGGAGGCACAGAUGGGACAAUUUCUACAUAAACCUUUUUAAGAGCCCCCCCCCACCCAAUUGGGUCAGCAAAUUUCUUAACUUCCCCUCUCUUCACUUUCCACACACCUCUGUGUAGAAAA